AAUCACAACAAUUCGCGUGGUGUCUUUGACACCGACUCGCUCGUGUUCACGUCCGAUUAGGUGUCGUUGGUAGUGUAUUGGACUACCAAACCCGCAAUCGGUAACGGGGGUUUAGGGACCGACUCCGGCGAGAAAGCCUGAGAAACGGCUUUCAGUUCUAUGGAAUGCAGCAGUUGCGAAACGUGCCCAAUGAACCCCGUGUUCGAGGCCGAGACGACCAAUAUCAAAGCGAGGCUCUCAGAGUUUUGCUAUUGAAAUGGAUCGGGUUUAAACCACCCGGUGAGGAUCAAGCAGAGGGAGAGUCUGGUGCCAGCAGCCGCGGUAAUUCCAGCUCUGCGAAGGAACGUAUAAAUUGUUGCAGUUAAAAAACGCGUAGCAGUGUGUCGCCCUGGUUGUGUAGGGUUUGCCCUCCUUUGGGGGGUGGAUCCUAUGCGCAGGGCUUCGGCUCCCGUGCCGUGCCUCGCAAGGGGUGCGGAUUGCGGGGCCACCAUUACUGUGAGUAAAUCGGAACGCUCAAAGUGGGUAAUCGCUUAACGCUUCUCAUGGAAUAAUCCCUUUAAGACAUUAAAGGUUGAUUGGUUUCCUUUAAAGUCUUUUCAAACAGGAACAGGUGGGGGAGAUCGUACCUUGCAGCUAGAGGUGAAAUUCUUUGAUUUGCAAGAGACGAACAACAGCGAAGGCAUUCUCCAAAAAUGUUUUCAUUUGUCAAGCGUGAAAGCCGGAGGAUCGAAGAAGAUUAGAUACCUUUGUAGUUCCGGCCCUAAACGAUGCCGACUCGGGAUUAGAGGUCGUUAUUUUGACUCCUCUAGUACCGUAUGAGAAAUCAAAGUCUUUGGGUUCCGGGGGGAGUAUGAUCGCAAGGUUGAAACUUAAAGAAAUUGACGGAAGGGCACACCAGUAGUGGAGCCUGCGGUUUAAUUUGACCCAACACGGGGAAACUCACCAGGUCCAGACAUGAGAAGGAUUGACAGUUUGAAAGCACUUUCUUGAUUUUAUGGGUGGUGGUGCAUGGCCGUUCUUAGUUGGUGGAGUGAUUUGUCUGGUUGAUUCCGAUAACGAACGAGACCCGGACUGGUAAAUAGCCCGCAUUAACUUUCGUUAGUGUGCUGGCUUCUUACUGGGACAACUCGCCUUUAGCGAGAGGAAGCGCCGGGCAAUAACAGGUCUGUGAUGCCCUUAGAUGUUCUGGGCUACACGCGCGCUACAAUGAUGGCUUCAACGAGUUUUUGCUUGCCCGGAAGGGCUCGCUAAUCUUUUCAAUGGCCAUCGUGAUGGGGCUAGAUUCUUGUAAUUAUUAAUCUUCAACGAGGAAUUACUAGUAUGUGCGGUUCAUCAGACCGCGCAGAAUGCGUCCCUGCCCUUUGUACACACCGCCCGUCGCAGCUACCGAUGAGUCAUUUCGUGAGGGCUUUGGAGAGGUCCGAUUUGGUUUCGGCCGGGUUGGAUCUCGAAGCUGCUCAAACGACACGAUUUAGAGGAAGCUGAAGUCGUAACAAGGUC
This 1500-nucleotide ribosomal RNA is filed under the name metagenome. Its description in RNAcentral is "SSU rRNA". It matches the Rfam family "Eukaryotic small subunit ribosomal RNA", at positions 249 to 1801 of the family's 1831-position model. The record is from RNAcentral.